UCCUACGGGAGGCAGCAGUAGGGAAUCUUCCGCAAUGGACGAAAGUCUGACGGAGCAACGCCGCGUGAGUGAUGAAGGCUUUCGGGUCGUAAAACUCUGUUGUUAGGGAAGAACAAGUACGAGAGUAACUGCUCGUACCUUGACGGUACCUAACCAGAAAGCCACGGCUAACUACGUGCCAGCAGCCGCGGUAAUACGUAGGUGGCAAGCGUUAUCCGGAAUUAUUGGGCGUAAAGCGCGCGCAGGCGGUUUCUUAAGUCUGAUGUGAAAGCCCACGGCUCAACCGUGGAGGGUCAUUGGAAACUGGGGAACUUGAGUGCAGAAGAGAAAAGCGGAAUUCCACGUGUAGCGGUGAAAUGCGUAGAGAUGUGGAGGAACACCAGUGGCGAAGGCGGCUUUUUGGUCUGUAACUGACGCUGAGGCGCGAAAGCGUGGGGAGCAAACAGGAUUAGAUACCCUGGUAGUCCACGCCGUAAACGAUGAGUGCUAAGUGUUAGAGGGUUUCCGCCCUUUAGUGCUGCAGCUAACGCAUUAAGCACUCCGCCUGGGGA
This 551-nucleotide ribosomal RNA is filed under the name bacterium PE03-55G16. RNAcentral describes it as "bacterial SSU rRNA". It matches the Rfam family "Bacterial small subunit ribosomal RNA", at positions 337 to 879 of the family's 1533-position model. The record is from RNAcentral.